RNAcentral lists this long non-coding RNA (773 nucleotides) under Mus musculus (house mouse). RNAcentral describes it as "Hand2, opposite strand 1". Lineage: Eukaryota; Metazoa; Chordata; Mammalia; Rodentia; Muridae. The record is from RNAcentral.
AACAGAUGCUUCGCUAUUAAAAUAUUUCCCCCCAAUACUGAAGAAUCUUAAACCAGGCACUGAAGUGGAUGACCCAAGUUAGGAUGACAACUUGCAGAGAACGCGGAUGAGACCUUCAGUUUGUGCCCACACUCAUUUGCAGCAACCCUAACAGAGAUUGCGAAGAUUUUCAAAGUGGGGCACCUCGAUUUCUCGAAUCUGUGGUGUGGCGAAUAUCCGUGUUCCUCCUGCUUAACUAGCCUGUUUGAAGGCACAGUUCAUUCUCGAGCAAUUCGUCACCUCCUGGGGGUCUUCUCUUCCCGUCUACAGGAGAGUGUGACUUCAGAAAGAACUUCGGAUUGGCCAAGGCAGGUCUGAUUCUAUUUAUUCUAAAGACAGAGUUGGAGAUGGGCUACCAUUGGUGUUGAUUGAGAUGACAAGCAGUCACCUGAGCCCAUACAGCUGGGUUCACAGAUGUGGCUAGUCUUGCUAGCCAGCUCGCACUGUGGACAUUCUAGGGAACUGACUGCAGUCCUCAUGCUUGGAGUCAAACACUUUAACCACUGCACACGUUUAUGUAAUAGGAUUGACAUAUGAGAAUCAGAGAAAUGAAUGAAAGAUUAGAGUGGGAGAAAGUGCUUGCUGCCAAGCUUGAUGACCUAAAUUGAAUACCUGGAACCUACACGACAGAAAGAGAGAGCUGACUGCUGAAAGAUGUCCUCAGAUCUUCACAUGUGCACAGUGGCACCUAUCCAACCAUGCACAUAGUAUAUUAAAAAUUAUUUUUUAAAAAA